UACGUAGGGGGCUAGCGUUGUCCGGAUUUAUUGGGCGUAAAGAGCGUGUAGGCGGCCAGAUAGGUCUGCUGUGAAAACUCGAGGCUCAACCUCGAGCUGUCGGCGGAAACCAUCCGGCUAGAGUCCGGAAGAGGAGAGUGGAAUUCCCGGUGUAGCGGUGAAAUGCGCAGAUAUCGGGAAGAACACCUGUGGCGAAGGCGGCUCUCUGGGACGGUACUGACGCUGAGACGCGAAAGCGUGGGGAGCAAACAGG
This 253-nucleotide ribosomal RNA is filed under the name uncultured bacterium. Its description in RNAcentral is "partial 16S ribosomal RNA". It matches the Rfam family "Bacterial small subunit ribosomal RNA", at positions 524 to 776 of the family's 1533-position model. The record is from RNAcentral.